RNAcentral lists this long non-coding RNA (7454 nucleotides) under Zea mays. RNAcentral describes it as "long non-coding RNA (ZMAY_LNC000572)". The record is from RNAcentral. Lineage: Eukaryota; Viridiplantae; Streptophyta; Magnoliopsida; Poales; Poaceae.
AAAAUGAAUCUCUACCUCGGCGCCAUCACUAUUGCCGUCGAGCUAGAACGAGUCGACGCCAAUUAAAUUAGCGUGUAUAUGUUACAGUCGACGCCUACGAGUACCUGACGUGGCACUACCUCGGCGCCAUGGAUCUCGGCGCCAUGAAUCUCAGUGCCGAGGUCGGUGCCAUGGAUCUCGGCGUCGACCUCCAUGUUUAUAAAUAUCUCACUUCGGUCGUCAGUUCUUUGUAAUCAUUUCUCUUCUACCAAACGACCAAUAUCAACCUAAAUCAGCGACUUGAAUCCAUUGUUCAUGUGUAUCAAGGUAAUUUCCCUCCAUUUUUUUGGUCUUUUGCUAUGUCUGAUUAAUAGGGUUAGGGUUACCGUUUGGGAAUCAUUUUUAGACUCAUUUUUUAUUGUCAUAUUAUCGAUUUGUAGGAUGUGUAGGCGUGGUAAAUCUGCUAAACAAAGGUAACCGUUGUAUUAGAUGUAAUAACUAAUAUUUGUGAGUCUUAUAAAACUUAUCAAAAUUUAGGAAGGGUCCAUUGACCGGAACUGCCUUCGACCCACUUCCUUUGCCAACUAGUGUUUCAGUGCCUAUGUGUUUUUGUGGUGAUCCUUGCAAGGUUGACAAGUCCACUGAUCAUGACACCUAUCGACAGAGGUAUUGGAUGUGUGCUAACUAUGCAUUUGAGCCAACGAUUGUUCAGCGUCGGAUGAAUUUAAUGGUGAGAAUAAUUUUUUAGUUAGUUCACAGCUUUCAUACGAGGUGGUGCAUGUUUUGUUUUGGUACUAAUCAUUGCAUGUUUUGUAGACUCCUCGACCGCUCUGUGAUUUUGAGCAGUGGAUUAACACAGAAAUCUCACAGAAAGACAAGAAGUGAUUGGAGAAUCUUAAAAAGUGGGAUACAGAGGACAAAGAGAGGAUAGAGAAAAGACGAGAGAAGCUUGCGGCCGAGCAACAAUGGGUAGACAAACAGGAAAUGAGGCAUAUUGCUGAAUGCAGGGAGGAGAAGGAGAAGAAGCUUGAGCGUGCACGUCGUGCAAAAGGACGCAAUAGGGGAGAAUCCAGAUGCUUUUCGCAAGGGCAAAUGGCCCCGUUGCACUCAGUAGUCUAGGUGAUUAUAUGAUGUUAUGUAGUAAUAAACUUCUUAUUAUGUAUUAUUUAGUAUCGAACAAUGUUAUAUAGUAAUGAACUACUUAUUAUGGAUUCAAAUUAGGCACUAAAAGCAAUUGAUGAAGACGACUUAAAGCAAUUGAUACAGAGAAUCAACACACUUAAAGCAAUUGAUACAAAACAGUUUUCUAAUAGUUCAUUUACCAAUGAAUGUUGUAUAAAUGUUUACUGUUAGUUUUACUCUACAACAAAAUCUUAUAGAACCAAGGAUUAUAAUUAAUAUUUACAUAUGCAUAAGGACAUAUGAAGAAACAUCGGCCUCCAUCAAUCCCCCUCUCGACGAACAUAUGCACCAAGCAAUCCUCACCAUGCAUGCACUUCGGCCAAUCUUCUCUCCUGUUAUCGUAAGACUUAAGUCGAACCUUCUUAUUGAAAUCACUUUUACUUUGUACUAGAAAUUCAUAUGAUGCUUCCUCAAAAUAAUUGGGGCCAAGUGGCCCAUCAUAACAAAUUGGAGGUCCCUUCCCCACACCCUUUGCUCUCUCAUUUCUAGAACCCUUUCCUCAAGAUGACCCUGAAACCAUUUUAGCUGGUGACUUCCCUUUGUAUAACACAAUGAACCAAAUGGUCGCGUAUAAAUAGGCCAAUGUCAAGGUGGUAUGUGUUAUGAAAAUGCUAGAUGUUUCUGAAAAGGCUAGGUAUUUCUCAAAAGGAUAGCUGCUUCUAAAAAGGCCAGAUACUUCUGAAAAAGUUAGAUGCUUCUGAAAAGGCUAUGUACUUCUGAAAAGGCUAGAUGUUUCUGAAAAGUCUAGAUACUUAUGAAAAUGCUAGAUAUUUGCCUCUCAUUAAUCCAUGUAUUUGGUUUAGGGAUGUACUCAUAAUGCAUGCCGGGAUUUGCCGCCUUGAUUGCAUUGAGAAGAACAGGCGGUUGCUCGUACCUAGACUCUCAGUCCCCAUAUAUAAUCUUCCAAGCACAUUGCUUAGCCCUCCACGCUUUGCCAUAUGUUAUCUUGUAUCCAUCGCACACAUUCUCCACAAUUCGCAUGAUCGUCCUCACCUUCAUAUUUGGUUCUGACUGCAAUAUUCCCAUAUGUCGCUUCCCAAUGAGGGUAGAGGUCAACUGACGAUGCUUCGUCAUUAGCUCAUGUUCAGCACAGUUGUCCGAGCCCAUAAUUUUUGUUAUCUUCCACUUUCCGGUGAUCUUCUGUUUCAUAGCACUGACCCUCCAUGGACACUGGUCCUUGUCACAUACAAUAGCGUACGCCGCUUCUCGUAUGAAUGAAGCACCCUAUACGACCUCUUACGUAAGACGACAUAAUGUUGCAACCACAUCUUCAAGGCAUUUAGGUCCUUGAAAACCCGACCCAUUUCGAUCAUCAUGCUAGGACCCGCCUCAGGAGCAUCUAGCAACUCAUCAUCCCUCCCUUCUACAAAGGCGUCAUGAGAUAGACUCAGAUCGCUGAACUCAUGCACUCUUGGAUCCCGGUGCUCUAGAAUAACACGCUUCAACAUCUCAAUAUCACUAUGUGUAAGUUCACCAACCGAACGGUUAUCAUCUGAAUCAGCGGACAUAGCAAAGGCAUAAGGCUCCUCUUCAUUCCUAAACUCAGGACUAUUGGAUGCAAUAAUUCCAUCUCCACAAUGGAUAUGUGUUCUGAUCGUAGGAUCAACCAGAACAUCAGGAAUGUCUCCUGCAACAAGGACCAAAAAAAGAAUAAAAUGGCGGCAAUGAAAAGAACAAAGUAGGUAUGCUCGAAAAUGAUGAUCGGCUACAAAGAUACCUACAAAGGGACUUACUCCAAGGGUCCCUACCAAAGGGAUACUCUUGGUAGAAUCUAGGUGUAGGUAAUGAGUUCCAUAAUCAUUUGUAGGCUCACUUAAUGGGAUCAUAUUGGGGGGCAGAUUGAGCAUCAGGCACGGUUGGCACGACCUCAACACCACGAUCAUAGUUUUCAUCUUCAGGGCGAGAGGCAACUAACAAACGUCGUACCACUACAUCCAUGACUUGCUUUUGUGUCUUCAUAGCUGGUUUAACAUAAUUAUCCCACUCUCACUGACACUCAAUUGGGAAGAUAAGUCUUUGCACGUUGGGUAGAGGACCUACGUUUAGCACCCCAUCAACGACGAUGUCGUCAGCAUCAUGACAACAAAUCUUCUCCUUAGCCUUAGCAACCACCUCACUAAAGGAGGGUCUAUCAUCGAAUAUCACAGCCACACGUUGCAUGUCAACAAACUCAGCAUUUCCAUAAUGAUCUUGUUCCACGAUGCAUCCAUGGUAUAUGCCCAAAAAAUUGGCCAUCUAUUUGAAAUACGAAUUCAACGUUGAAUAACCAAUUGUGAUGGUUAGUGCAUAACCCCAUCCACUAUGACUAACUAAUACCUAAGUAUAAACUACCUAGUACCUAAUAAAUAAUUGUAAACUAAUACAAGAUAAUAACUAACUAAUACCUAACUACAAACUACCACCACGCGGUGGAUUAACAAUUUACCAAUAAUAACAAACUACUAACUACUAACGAUUUACCCACUAUUAACCAUUUACCAAUAAUAACUACAAAUCAAUAAGUACAUGGAAAGUGGGUUACUGGGCGGUAAGAGUGUGGCCGGCCACGGACUAGGCGGCGAGUGGCGGUUGCACGCGUCGAACGGGGGCGACGGUUUCAUCAAGUUUCUUGGUGCAUGCUUCACUGAUUCUGAUGCAUGUAUGGCUGGAUCCAUUUUUAGGUUCUUCCUGAUGACAUCCGUCGAGCAUUGCUUGUUAUUGUGGAGUGUUGCAUGAAGCGAGAUUAUCUAGCGGCAAUGGACCAAUACAUCAAGCUGGCAAUCGAGUUUUUAUUAACUUUUUACGCUGAUUUAAUCAAAUGGGCCAACGGGAUAACGGGCUGGUCCGACACAUUCAGCAGACCGGCAUGACGUGCCGGGACCAGAGUUGUGGCCCGUGCCGUGCCGCCGUUUGACCAUCUAAAUGCAUGCAACAGGUUAAUUUGAAAUAACUGUAAGGGAUUAUUUGUAAAAAUAUGACACGGGACGACCGUUAAAACUGGUGCUUUAAGUAUAGUAUAGAAGUAUAGAUAUAGAUUACAGGCCAGGCUGCGAAUUUAGUUUAUCGUGGUGUGGUGACUGAACUUACAAUCAUGCGAUAAAUGUAGUAUGGUUUCCAGAUCUUGUCAGUUGCGGUACUGACACAAUCACACAAGCACCAAAAUUGAUUAAUACGGUAAACAUGGCUGCCGCUUCAUGAUAUAUUGUAAAAAAAUGGUUCUCCAGAAUUUGGCUGAUAUAUUAAUAAAAACUUUGACCGGUCGGAUGUCGCGAUAAAGCGAUUUAAUUAGCAUGCACAAACAGAAAAAGAAAAAAGAUAAAAAAAACAGGCAGGAUUGAUUGUUGAUAUUACACAAGCAUCUCAAGCUCUACAUGUAAUCCAAUCUAGUCUACGAAGGCAUAUGCUGGCAUGAACCGGAGCCUUUCCUCGGAAGCUUUAGCCGAACCAUUCUCUUCCGAUAGAAGCGCCUGCAGGUCACUCCCAUUUGCCAGGCUGUUGAACUCCACUGAUUUUGAGGGCAGUGCAGGGUAACGCCGCUGGGAAAGCGUCAUCAGCCUCUUGAUUGACUGAAGGUACUUGCGAGUGGUCUCGUCAUUCAUGAUGUGGGCGACGCUGUUUGUGUAGAUCUUCUCUCGGGCAGAACGCUCGUGGAUGCCAACCAUAGUCACUCCAAUGGGCCAUGGUGCAUUCCCGAUUGCCAGCUUGAUGUAUUGGUCCAUUGCCGCUAGAUAAUCUCGCUUCAUGCAACACUCCACAAUAACAAGCAAUGCUCGACGGAUGUCAUCAGGAAGAACCUAAAAAUGGAUCCAGCCAUACAUGCAUCAGAAUCAGUGAAGCAUGCACCAAGAAACUUGUUGAAAAAAUUAGUUGUCAACGGUAUAAACAUAAUCAAUAUUCAGAUGAGCAUCAAUAUUAAUAGCACAAUUUAAGCAACCAACAGAUGGAAAUUGCAUAAGAAUCAAUACCUUCUUUCUGCAGAACUCAAACAGCGGGCUGAGAUACCGUGCACACUGCUUGAAUGUUGCAACCAUGGACUUCCCCUUUGCUGUCCGCUUCUCUAGCUCAGUCAUCUCAUCCAAUUCCUGGUUCCACUCAUUAAGCAGCUUCUUAAAGAACACCAAGAUCUUGUCUUCAUUGCAAAGCUCCUCAAACUUGGUCCUCAUCCUCUUGGAGUCCUUGUCUGCGUCAACAUCAUCGCCGCUCCCCUUGGCAUCCCCAUCAUCUGCACUGCCUCCGGCAGCACCCCAGUCGCCGCCAUCAACACGCUUGCUCUUGCCCUUGGCGUAGGUGUCCCUCCCGGCCUUCUGCCGCUUGCGCAUCUCGAUCAUGUCGCGGAGGAAGUCGUUGGUCUGUCCCUCGGUCAUGUCGAUGUCGUCGAUGACGCCGGACUUGAGCACGAGCUUGAAGCGCGCGAGGCGGGCGUCGUCGUCCUCCCCGAACAGCGUGACGGGCUCGCGCAGCACACGGAGGCGCCGCACCACCUCGUGCCGUGGGAGGUCGAGCUCGUCGAUGCGACGCUCCUCGGAACCGGUAGCAGCUGCGGCGGAAUUCGCGGAGGGCGCCGACGUGCCGGCCUUGGCGAGGAGCUGGCGGUGCUCGUCGCGCCGCUUCUGGAGUUGCUUCUGCUCCAGCUCCGACCGCCGCACGAAGCUCUUGCCCCCGAAGUCGGCCGUCGCCGCCUUCCGCUUCUUCUCCAGUUCCCGCUUCAGCAGAUCCAUUACGCCCGACGCUCAGUUGGGCUUCGAUUCUCCGAGAGGCGGUAUUUGACCGUUCCCGCAAAUAGAAGAGGACUCGACUCGACUUUGAUCGUGUUGUGGCCGUGUGGGCAGACUUUAUAUGCAAGCAAGCGUGCAAGUCCGUUCACCGUGCAAGUCCGUUCACCGGCUAAAAAUAUAUCCGGAUAUAGUUGUAGCUAACUAAUUUAGCGGUUUUGGAAAAUAACCAACCCCAAAUCUAUCCAUCUAUCUAUUCAUAAUAUAUACAUCUAUCUUUUGAUAAUCUACCCGUCGGACUACUUAUUGGGAUAAUAGCUGUAGAAGGUUGGGUACGUGCUUGUUUCUGUGGAUUAGGACAUGGUUGCCCACCACCCUGGGGCACUUGCACAUAGCUUGGCCUACACGUGCACGUAGCUCCCAGGUUGCUGUCUCCCGCGUCGUAUUUUUUGCAAUUUAGUUUUUUUUAUUUUAUUUUCACAAAUAUGUAUUUUCCAGUUUCAUUUAAAAAAAUGAAUCUCUACCUCGGCACCAUCACUAUUACCGCCGAGCUAGAACGAGUCGGUGCCGAUUAAAUUAGCGUGUAUAAUCAUUUCUCUUCUACCAAACGACCAAUAUCAACCUAAAUCAACGACUUGAUUUCAUUAUUCAUGUGUAUCAACGUAAUCUCCCUCCAUUUUUUGGUCUUUUGCUAUGUCUAAUUAAUAGGGUUAGGGUUAACGUUUGGGAAUCAUUUUUAUUGUCAUAUUAUCGAUUUGUAGGAUGUCUAGGCGUGGUAAAUCUGCUAAACAAAGGUAAGUGUUGUAUUAAAUGUAAUAACUAAUAUUUGUGAGUCUUAUAAAACAUAUCGACAUUUAUGAAGGGUCCGUUGACCGGAACUGCCUUCGACCCGUUUCCUUUGCCAACUGGUGUUCUAGUGCCUAUGUGUUUUUGUGGUGAUCCUUGCAAGGUUGACAAGUCAGAGGAUCAUGACACCUAUCGACAGAGGUAUUAGAUGUGUGGUAACUAUGCAUUUGAGCCAACGAUUGUUCAGCGUCGGAUGAAUUUAAUGGUGAGAAUAAUUUUUUAGUUAGUUCACAGCUUUCAUACGAAGUGGUGCAUGUUUUGUUUUGGUACUAAUCAUUGCAUGUUUUGUAGACUCCUCCACCGCUCUGUGAUUUUGAGCAGUGGAUUGACACAAAAAUCUCAUAGAAAGACAAGAAGUGGUUGGAGAAUCUUAAAAAGUGGGAUACAGAGGACAAAGAGAGGAUAGAGAAAAGACGCUGUCGAGCCUCGCCGUCCGCCCGGAGUAAGCUACGCCCGUGAUUCUCCCUCGUCGAGUUCGUCGCAUGGUGUGAAGUCCUGAGCUUGCAUGAAGUUCCCUUGGACCCGCCCUUCGUUUAUUCAUGGUGAGCUCGCCCCCUUCCUCUCUCCAUCCCUCUCCUCCUCUCCUCUUGCCGUGCUCGGUUUGGCGCUCGCUCGACGUGCCCGAAGCCCGUCUAGACCGGCCGAGCCCAGCCCCUCCCCAAGCGGAAGCCUGGCGUGACCCCGACACUCAUGGCGUGGUGCGCAGCCCGCGGACCGGGUAUCCACGUUCGGGUGGCCAUUCGUGUCCGCCUGCGC